Molecule: ribosomal RNA, 466 nt
Filed under: uncultured bacterium
Lineage: Bacteria
Description: partial 16S ribosomal RNA
Rfam family: Bacterial small subunit ribosomal RNA
Source: RNAcentral
GAUGAACGCUGGCGGCGUGCUUAACACAUGCAAGUCGAACGGAAAGGCUCCUGCCUGCAGGGGUACUCGAGUGGCGAACGGGUGAGUAACACGUGGGUGAUCUGCCCUGUACUUCGGGAUAAGCUUGGGAAACUGGGUCUAAUACCGGAUAUGACAAUCUCUUGGAUGGGGUUGUGGAAAGCUUUUGCGGUAUGGGAUGAGCUCGCGGCCUAUCAGCUUGUUGGUGGGGUAAUGGCCUACCAAGGCGUCGACGGGUAGCCGGCCUGGGAGGGUGUACGGCCACAUUGGGACUGAGAUACGGCCCAGACUCCUACGGGAGGCAGCAGUGGGGAAUAUUGCACAAUGGGCGCAAGCCUGAUGCAGCGACGCCGCGUGGGGGAUGACGGCCUUCGGGUUGUAAACUCCUUUCGCAACCGACGAAGCUUUUGUGACGGUAGGUUGAGAAGAAGCACCGGCUAACUACGUG